CUACGGGACGCACCAGUGAGGAAUAUUGCACAAUGGAGGAAACUCUGAUGCAGCAACGCCGCGUGGAGGAUGACGCAUUUCGGUGUGUAAACUCCUUUUAUAUGUCAAGAAAAUGACGGUAGCAUAUGAAUAAGCACCGGCUAACUCCGUGCCAGCAGCCGCGGUAAUACGGAGGGUGCAAGCGUUACUCGGAAUCACUGGGCGUAAAGGACGCGUAGGCGGGUUGGAAAGUCAGGUGUGAAAUCCUACAGCUUAACUGUAGAACUGCACUUGAAACUUCUAAUCUAGAGUAUGGGAGGGGGAGAUGGAAUUAGUGGUGUAGGGGUAAAAUCCGUAGAUAUCACUAGGAAUACCUAAAGCGAAGGCGAUCUCCUGGAACAUUACUGACGCUAAGGCGUGAAAGCGUGGGGAGCAAACAGGAUUAGAUACCCCCGUAGUC
Molecule: ribosomal RNA, 439 nt
Filed under: uncultured bacterium
Lineage: Bacteria
Description: partial 16S ribosomal RNA
Rfam family: Bacterial small subunit ribosomal RNA
Source: RNAcentral